Molecule: ribosomal RNA, 402 nt
Filed under: bacterium
Lineage: Bacteria
Description: partial 16S ribosomal RNA
Rfam family: Bacterial small subunit ribosomal RNA
Source: RNAcentral
UGGGGAAUUUUGCACAAUGGGGGAAACCCUGAUGCAGCGACGCCGCGUGAUUUAGAAGGCCUUCGGGUUGUAAAAAUCUUUUCUAUGGGAAGAAAAUGACAGUACCAUAGGAAUAAGGACCGGCUAAUUUCGUGCCAGCAGCCGCGGUAAUACGUAAGGUCCGAGCGUUGUCCGGAAUCAUUGGGCGUAAAGGGUACGUAGGCGGGUAAGCAAGUUAGAAGUGAAAUCCUAUAGCUCAACUAUAGUAAGCUUUUAAAACUGCUCAUCUUGAGGUAUGGAAGGGAAAGUGGAAUUCCUAGUGUAGCGGUGAAAUGCGCAGAUAUUAGGAGGAAUACCGGUGGCGAAGGCGACUUUCUGGCCAUAACCUGACGCUGAGGUACGAAAGCGUGGGUAGCAAACAGG